Long non-coding RNA from Neltuma alba, 320 nucleotides. RefSeq lists it as uncharacterized. NCBI's taxonomy places the organism in Eukaryota, Viridiplantae, Streptophyta, Magnoliopsida, Fabales, Fabaceae. The record is from RefSeq and is a predicted model, not a curated record. The transcript is spliced from 3 exons.
ACACACUUCAUUUGAUGUGGUCUCAUCCAAGGUGCAAAUAUUGUGAAUCAAAUCGAACGAGAUGCGGAUUCAACAAGAGGAAUAGUAGUGAUGAUAUUGCAUGUUUUGAGGUUCUUUACAAAGACUCAUCACACAAAUUUGUGAUUCCAUGAUCAUGGGCUCACUUCUUCUAGUGGUGACGCCGGUUGUAAUUCAUUAUGUUCGCAACUCCUACAAAUCAUGAAAAGAAAGCCAAGCAAUAAUUGAAAAUUUUCUGAAAGAUUAUAGAGCUUGCAAGCCAACCAGAUAUUCUUAUGCUGAAAUCAAGAGAAUUACCAAUC